UACAGAGGGUGCGAGCGUUAAUCGGAAUUACUGGGCGUAAAGCGCGCGUAGGCGGCUUUGCAAGUCGGGUGUGAAAUCCCCAGGCUUAACCUGGGAACUGCAUUCGAGACUGCAUUGCUAGAGUAUGGGAGAGGGAAGUGGAAUUUCCGGUGUAGCGGUGAAAUGCGUAGAUAUCAGGAGGAACACCGGUGGCGAAGGCGGUUCUCUGGGCCUUACCUGACGCUGAGGAGCGAAAGCAUGGGGAGCAAACAGG
Molecule: ribosomal RNA, 253 nt
Filed under: uncultured bacterium
Lineage: Bacteria
Description: partial 16S ribosomal RNA
Rfam family: Bacterial small subunit ribosomal RNA
Source: RNAcentral